GUGGAUGUAGCUUAGCUGGUUAAAGCGCCAGAUUGUGGCUCUGGAGACCGUGGGUUCGAAUCCCAUCUUCCACCCCA
Molecule: transfer RNA, 77 nt
Filed under: Ruminococcaceae bacterium CPB6
Lineage: Bacteria; Bacillati; Bacillota; Clostridia; Eubacteriales; Oscillospiraceae
Also listed under: 4 other names
Description: tRNA-His
Rfam family: tRNA
About the family: Transfer RNA (tRNA) molecules are approximately 80 nucleotides in length. Their secondary structure includes four short double-helical elements and three loops (D, anti-codon, and T loops).
Source: RNAcentral